Molecule: long non-coding RNA, 2007 nt
Organism: Eurytemora carolleeae
Lineage: Eukaryota; Metazoa; Arthropoda; Copepoda; Calanoida; Temoridae
Exons: 3
Source: RefSeq, a predicted model, not a curated record
UCAGUUGGUCCGUGGGAAUAUUUUUGUACGUAUCAUAUUAUAGAUGUAUUAUACAUAUAGUUCAAUAUGUCAAUAUGAGGAUAUCGCAUUAUAACCUCCGCGCAUGCGCAAACCUCGCUAUUUAUAUUCUGACAGCUGGCUGCUAGCCAAUUCUUAAAUCAAGUCAAAAUGAGAGUUUCAAGAUUCAAAACUUCAAGCUCCAGGAUAUCUUCGAUCUCAACUACUUCAAUUCUAUCCUUCUCUGGCACGAAGAGCAAGAUGGCGAUGGCGCGAUUUAUGCUGCUGGCAUCCAUUAAAAGAAAAGACGGGAUUAUGGCUAGGAUAGGAAGCUGAACAUCAGAUCGGAAUUCGAGGACGGGCGAGGAAUGGUUCUCUAGGUCCCCCUAGGUAUAGGGAGUGAUGUGAUCCCAAUAAUCAACCAACCUAAAACAGAGUAGACGACUAUCUGUUCAACUAAACUAAACUGAUUUGACUUUCUACUAACAAUUUAAAGUAGAAACUUGACAUUCUACCGAGAUUUACACUAACCUGAUUUAUAUAUAUAUAUAUAUUUACUUUAUUUUGAAGUAUUACAUAAUGCUGGCGCAGCUUGAAGUUUGAUAAGGGAGGGUGAUGUAUACUAAAGGACAACUUUUACUCGCGCGUUUUUAAACUUAUGAAUAAUUUUUAAUUAAUUUAUCUGUACGAAAUGCGCCAUGCUGAUGUGUAGUUUUUUUAUUUUAAAUUUAUUACAGGGUUACCCACAAAUGAGAUCUGUUAUUUUUUCGUUAAAAUCCCUUGAUAUAUCUUAUAUAACUUGUGGACCACCCUUUAGUUUGUCUAUUCUUAACUCGAGUAUUUAGCACAUGUAGAACUACUAUCAAGUUUUGUGCUGUAGAAUUGCUUCUGGGAAGGAACUGCGUUUUCGCCACAAACUCGCAUCUUUAAAGUCUUAUAUCUUUGAAAACUGAUGGUGUAAACCAGCGCUUUGGAUACGGAUCCAAGGGGGCAAAUUAUCUACCAAAAACAACACGCGAAAAAUGAGAAUUCUAAAUUUCUGCUCAGUUAAAAUUUUUGGCAAACUUUUAAGAAAUUACCUGUAUCCGCAUCAAAAUAAAAUGGAUCCUUAGCACUGGUGUAAACCACUGAUAUUUCAUACUAUGACUAUUUAAACUAACAGAAUUCAAAGUUUGACAUAUCACAGAUCUACAACAUUGCGUUUUAAAGGUAUUGGGAUUAGUAAAUAGAGUUUCUGACAAAAACUCAAUUUCUUCACAUUAUUGAAAUGGAUAGUUUGAUCCAUUUUUAGUAACUUUUAACACUACUUCAAGUGAUUUGAUUAAGAGCUGGAGAACCCCUUAAUUUCAUAUAUGAUUUCAGUUACAGCCUUACAUUUCAGAAUUUUUUUUUUCUUUCGGGCAAAUCUAGAAUUUUUAUUUGUUCUACAUUGUAGCCAUUUCAUUAUGCUGAUACGAUAUUAGGUUUAAAAUAUUAAAAAUUAUUGCUUAUGUAUUAAAUUUUGUAUAUUUUUUUUCUUAUGCUUUAGUGUUAAAAAGUAGACUCUUCGUAUACCUGUUCUUUAGAUUUAAGCGUUAAUGCUUGUCAAUUCUUUUUCUCUGUGUGCAUUCUAAAUUUAGUCUUGUUGUUGUGCCCAAUUUUAAAUGUAAAUUGUAAUUGUGACUUGUGUUUUUCCAAACCUUUUUUAGUUUUUUUCUAUGUCUUAGUUUUCGUAUAACUUUACUCGAAAUUGAAGAAACCAGAGCUGACAACUUUAGACUGGGAUACUCUUCUUACCGAUUGUUUAAUCAGAACGUCCUCUGGAUACUUUUGAUUUCUGCUUAAUCCACUUUUAAUUUCAUUACUGGAUUUGGACCAAUGAGGACAUCAAAUAGCGCGCAAAAUUUCAAACUAGGCUUCUGAUUGACUUUGCGGGGUUUAACACAUUCCACUCUGAUUGUUUGAAUUUUAGAAACUCCUAAAUACAAAUUUUAGGUGUUAAAAAAGAAUUGAUCUCGAUUUCCCCAAUUA